Molecule: long non-coding RNA, 272 nt
Organism: Eriocheir sinensis (Chinese mitten crab)
Lineage: Eukaryota; Metazoa; Arthropoda; Malacostraca; Decapoda; Varunidae
Exons: 3
Source: RefSeq, a predicted model, not a curated record
AAAAAAAAAAUCAUUUAACAUGGGAAAAAAGGGACUGGACAGAAGCACUCUCCUGCCCUGCCCUGCCCUGCCCCGCCUGCAUAUGGCUCGUGCGGCAUCAGAUUACGGGCGCGCGGUGGUGUUACCAGACUGGCGGUGAGGUUGUGGAAGUGGGACGCAGCAACACCCGCCCGCCCCCCGCCUCACCUCAUCUCACCUCCGUCCUGUCCCCCGCCAAGCCGUCAGACACAGGUAAGUCUUCUAUUCUUCCGGGUGAAAAAGGGAUCUUCUGG